AGGACACUCUAUACGGAGUUACAAAGGACGACAUUAGACGAAUCAUCUGGAAAGAUGAAUCAAAGAAGGUAAUAAUCCUGUAGUCGAAAAUGUUGUCUCUCUUGAGUGGAUCCUGAGUACGACGGAGCACGUGAAAUUCCGUCGGAAUCUGGGAGGACCAUCUCCUAAGGCUAAAUACUCUCUAGUGACCGAUAGUGAACCAGUACCGUGAGGGAAAGGUGAAAAGCACCCCGGAAGGGGAGUGAAAUAGAACCUGAAACCGUGUGCUUACAAGUAGUCAGAGCCCGUUAAUGGGUGAUGGCGUGCCUUUUGUAGAAUGAACCGGCGAGUUACGAUUUGAUGCAAGGUUAAGCAGUAAAUGUGGAGCCGUAGCGAAAGCGAGUCUGAAUAGGGCGUUUAGUAUUUGGUCGUAGACCCGAAACCAGGUGAUCUACCCUUGGUCAGGUUGAAGUUCAGGUAACACUGAAUGGAGGACCGAACCGACUUACGUUGAAAAGUGAGCGGAUGAACUGAGGGUAGCGGAGAAAUUCCAAUCGAACCUGGAGAUAGCUGGUUCUCUCCGAAAUAGCUUUAGGGCUAGCCUCAAGUGAUGAUUAUUGGAGGUAGAGCACUGUUUGGACGAGGGGCCCCUCUCGGGUUACCGAAUUCAGACAAACUCCGAAUGCCAAUUAAUUUAACUUGGGAGUCAGAACAUGGGUGAUAAGGUCCGUGUUCGAAAGGGAAACAGCCCAGACCACCAGCUAAGGUCCCAAAAUAUAUGUUAAGUGGAAAAGGAUGUGGCGUUGCCCAGACAACUAGGAUGUUGGCUUAGAAGCAGCCAUCAUUUAAAGAGUGCGUAAUAGCUCACUAGUCGAGUGACACUGCGCCGAAAAUGUACCGGGGCUAAACAUAUUACCGAAGCUGUGGAUUGUCCUUUGGACAAUGGUAGGAGAGCGUUCUAAGGGCGUUGAAGCAUGAUCGUAAGGACAUGUGGAGCGCUUAGAAGUGAGAAUGCCGGUGUGAGUAGCGAAAGACGGGUGAGAAUCCCGUCCACCGAUUGACUAAGGUUUCCAGAGGAAGGCUCGUCCGCUCUGGGUUAGUCGGGUCCUAAGCUGAGGCCGACAGGCGUAGGCGAUGGAUAACAGGUUGAUAUUCCUGUACCACCUAUAAUCGUUUUAAUCGAUGGGGGGACGCAGUAGGAUAGGCGAAGCGUGCGAUUGGAUUGCACGUCUAAGCAGUAAGGCUGAGUAUUAGGCAAAUCCGGUACUCGUUAAGGCUGAGCUGUGAUGGGGAGAAGACAUUGAGUCUUCGAGUCGUUGAUUUCACACUGCCGAGAAAAGCCUCUAGAUAGAAAAUAGGUGCCCGUACCGCAAACCGACACAGGUAGUCAAGAUGAGAAUUCUAAGGUGAGCGAGCGAACUCUCGUUAAGGAACUCGGCAAAAUGACCCCGUAACUUCGGGAGAAGGGGUGCUCUUUAGGGUUAACGCCCAGAAGAGCCGCAGUGAAUAGGCCCAAGCGACUGUUUAUCAAAAACACAGGUCUCUGCUAAACCGUAAGGUGAUGUAUAGGGGCUGACGCCUGCCCGGUGCUGGAAGGUUAAGAGGAGUGGUUAGCUUCUGCGAAGCUACGAAUCGAAGCCCCAGUAAACGGCGGCCGUAACUAUAACGGUCCUAAGGUAGCGAAAUUCCUUGUCGGGUAAGUUCCGACCCGCACGAAAGGCGUAACGAUUUGGGCACUGUCUCAACGAGAGACUCGGUGAAAUCAUAGUACCUGUGAAGAUGCAGGUUACCCGCGACAGGACGGAAAGACCCCGUGGAGCUUUACUGUAGCCUGAUAUUGAAAUUCGGCACAGCUUGUACAGGAUAGGUAGGAGCCUUUGAAACGUGAGCGCUAGCUUACGUGGAGGCGCUGGUGGGAUACUACCCUAGCUGUGUUGGCUUUCUAACCCGCACCACUUAUCGUGGUGGGA
Molecule: ribosomal RNA, 1949 nt
Filed under: Staphylococcus aureus
Lineage: Bacteria; Bacillati; Bacillota; Bacilli; Caryophanales; Staphylococcaceae
Description: partial 23S ribosomal RNA
Rfam family: Bacterial large subunit ribosomal RNA
Source: RNAcentral